CCUAGUUACCAGGCACGGUUAUGGUGGGCACUCUAAGGAGACUGCCGGUGACAAACCGGAGGAAGGUGGGGAUGACGUCAAGUCAUCAUGGCCUUACGGCCUGGGCUACACACGUGCUACAAUGGUCGGUACAAAGGGUUGCCAAGCCGCGAGGUGGAGCUAAUCCCAUAAAACCGAUCGUAGUCCGGAUCGCAGUCUGCAACUCGACUGCGUGAAGUCGGAAUCGCUAGUAAUCGUGAAUCAGAAUGUCACGGUGAAUACGUUCCCGGGCCUU
RNAcentral lists this ribosomal RNA (274 nucleotides) under uncultured Pseudomonas sp. Its description in RNAcentral is "partial 16S ribosomal RNA". It matches the Rfam family "Bacterial small subunit ribosomal RNA", at positions 1110 to 1382 of the family's 1533-position model. Lineage: Bacteria; Pseudomonadati; Pseudomonadota; Gammaproteobacteria; Pseudomonadales; Pseudomonadaceae. The record is from RNAcentral.